UACAGAGGGUGCAAGCGUUAAUCGGAAUUACUGGGCGUAAAGCGUGCGUAGACGGUUAUGUAAGUCAGAUGUGAAAGCCCCGGGCUCAACCUGGGUAUUGCAUUUGAGACUGCAUAGCUAGGGUGCGGAAGAGGGAAGCGGAAUUUCCGGUGUAGCGGUGAAAUGCGUAGAUAUCGGAAGGAACACCAGUGGCGAAAGCGGCUUCCUGGUCCAGCACCGACGUUCAGGCACGAAAGCGUGGGGAGCAAACAGG
This 253-nucleotide ribosomal RNA is filed under the name uncultured bacterium. RNAcentral describes it as "partial 16S ribosomal RNA". It matches the Rfam family "Bacterial small subunit ribosomal RNA", at positions 524 to 776 of the family's 1533-position model. The record is from RNAcentral.